GGAGAGAUGGCUGAGUGGUUGAUAGCUCCGGUCUUGAAAACCGGUAUAGUUUUGAAAAAAAAAAGAACUAUCGAGGGUUCGAAUCCCUCUCUCUCCU
Molecule: transfer RNA, 97 nt
Filed under: Impatiens repens
Lineage: Eukaryota; Viridiplantae; Streptophyta; Magnoliopsida; Ericales; Balsaminaceae
Also listed under: 5 other names
Description: tRNA-Ser
Rfam family: tRNA
About the family: Transfer RNA (tRNA) molecules are approximately 80 nucleotides in length.
Source: RNAcentral